CCAUCCUUAUUGCCACUUAUUACUGUUCCUACACCUCCUCUCCUCUCUCUCUCUAGCCUACACCCUCUCUCUAGGCAUCUCCUUUUUGGAUCUUAGAGAGAAGUGGGCAGCAUCCUUUUUUUGGUGAUAAGGGUUGGCAUCAAGAUUGAUUGGUUCAUUUUCUUUUCUCUCAAGUUGUUGAGAAUUAGUUACAACUACUUCUUGUUUGUUGUUCGUCUUGA
RNAcentral lists this long non-coding RNA (221 nucleotides) under Elaeis guineensis (African oil palm). RNAcentral describes it as "long non-coding RNA (EGUI_LNC042263)". Lineage: Eukaryota; Viridiplantae; Streptophyta; Magnoliopsida; Arecales; Arecaceae. The record is from RNAcentral.